CUCUGUGCUGAUUGGACGGAGGCGGCGGGGCGAGCCCGUCGCCGUGACGACGGCAGGACUCCUCUGAACCGAGCCGCCGCCGCCGAGCGAGAAGCUGUUCAUGUCUCUGUUCCCCCGGUGGCCACACGGGGCACUGCACACACACACACACACACACACACACACACACACACACACACACACACACACACACACACUUCCUGUCCGUCCUCCUCUGAUCCGGAUCAGACCUUCUCGGUUCUCCUCCUAGUGGGCGUUCCAGCAGCUGCAGUGACAGGAAGCAGUGCAUUAUGGGUAGUAAACAAACAAGGAAAUAGACGCACAAAGAAACAAUGGAAGAGUCUGGAGGUCAGAGGUCAGACAAGCAGCAGCUCGCUGCGUGAGGGGCGGGACUUCCUCUGUGGGUCUGGACCAAUCAGGGAGCCGGUUGCUUCACUUCCUGUCUGCUCGGUGGUUUCAGGGCACAGCGCCUCCCGGCAGCAGCUGCUGGAACUGCCCUCAGGAACACACACACACACACACACACACACACUCCAAGGGGGCGGGGCCUGCUGCUGUCAGGUGAUUACAGUGGGUGGAGUCCGUCUGACAGGAGCUGCACAACACUACGCUUCACGCCGUGGAGCCCGGCGCCAGAACCCGGCCGGCUCCGCCCCCUCAGGAGAACCUGACUCAGCAGAUCCGGUCCCGAGUCAGCAGGCCGUGGACCCGGAUCAGAACCGGGACGACCCCGUGUGGCGCGCUGUGGGCGUGUCGUGGUGCAUUGUGGGAGUUGUGGUGCAUUGUGGGAGUUGUGGGCGUGUCUGUUCCGUGUGGUGUGAGUGUUGCUGGGCAGCAUUUCUCCCUCUCAGCCUUUUGAUACGAGUCCAGUCGCAAACGUCUAAAUUAAAGUUGACUAGAAAAGAGGCGGAGUCAUGUCUUCUGUACACACACACACACACACACACACACACACACACACACCAAAGAGGCGGAGCACCGUCUGACUGCUGGGAACAGUUUGCCUUCAUUGCUCAAGGACACAAUUGA
Molecule: long non-coding RNA, 1029 nt
Filed under: Salarias fasciatus (jewelled blenny)
Lineage: Eukaryota; Metazoa; Chordata; Actinopteri; Blenniiformes; Blenniidae
Description: lncRNA (ENSSFAG00005001727.1)
Source: RNAcentral